AGAGACUUAGGCUAAUAUAAAACCAAGAGCCUUCAAAGCCCUAAAUGAAAGUGAAAAUCCCUCAGUCCCUG
Non-coding RNA from Pseudoliparis swirei, 71 nucleotides. The record is from the annotation of a RefSeq genome assembly. NCBI's taxonomy places the organism in Eukaryota, Metazoa, Chordata, Actinopteri, Perciformes, Liparidae.